RNAcentral lists this ribosomal RNA (1450 nucleotides) under Prevotella heparinolytica. RNAcentral's name for it is "bacterial SSU rRNA". It matches the Rfam family "Bacterial small subunit ribosomal RNA". The record is from RNAcentral. Lineage: Bacteria; Pseudomonadati; Bacteroidota; Bacteroidia; Bacteroidales; Prevotellaceae.
GAUGAACGCUAGCUACAGGCUUAACACAUGCAAGUCGAGGGGCAGCAUGGGCUUAGCUUGCUAAGCCCGAUGGCGACCGGCGCACGGGUGAGUAACACGUAUCCAACCUUCCGGUAACUCCGGUAUAGCCUUUCGAAAGAAAGAUUAAUCCCGGAUAGUAUGGUGAUUCCGCAUGGUUUCUCCAUUAAAGGAUUCCGGUUACCGAUGGGGAUGCGUUCCAUUAGGCAGUUGGCGGGGUAACGGCCCACCAAACCUACGAUGGAUAGGGGUUCUGAGAGGAAGGUCCCCCACAUUGGAACUGAGACACGGUCCAAACUCCUACGGGAGGCAGCAGUGAGGAAUAUUGGUCAAUGGGCGGAAGCCUGAACCAGCCAAGUAGCGUGAAGGAUGACUGCCCUAUGGGUUGUAAACUUCUUUUAUAAGGGAAUAAUUGUGGGUACGCGUACCCAUUUGCAUGUACCUUAUGAAUAAGGAUCGGCUAACUCCGUGCCAGCAGCCGCGGUAAUACGGAGGAUCCGAGCGUUAUCCGGAUUUAUUGGGUUUAAAGGGAGCGUAGGCGGGCGCUUAAGUCAGCUGUGAAAGUUUGGGGCUCAACCUUAAAAUUGCAGUUGAUACUGGGUGCCUUGAGUGCAGUAUAGGCAGGCGGAAUUCGUGGUGUAGCGGUGAAAUGCUUAGAUAUCACGAAGAACUCCUAUUGCGAAGGCAGCUUGCUGGAGUGUAACUGACGCUGAUGCUCGAAAGUGUGGGUAUCAAACAGGAUUAGAUACCCUGGUAGUCCACACAGUAAACGAUGAAUACUCGCUGUUUGCGAUAUACUGCAAGCGGCCAAGCGAAAGCGUUAAGUAUUCCACCUGGGGAGUACGCCGGCAACGGUGAAACUCAAAGGAAUUGACGGGGGCCCGCACAAGCGGAGGAACAUGUGGUUUAAUUCGAUGAUACGCGAGGAACCUUACCCGGGCUUGAAUUGCAACCGAAUUAUCCGGAAACGGGUAAGCCGCAAGGCGGUUGUGAAGGUGCUGCAUGGUUGUCGUCAGCUCGUGCCGUGAGGUGUCGGCUUAAGUGCCAUAACGAGCGCAACCCUUAUCCACAGUUACCAUCAGGUGAUGCUGGGGACUCUGUGGAGACUGCCGUCGUAAGAUGCGAGGAAGGGGGGGAUGACGUCAAAUCAGCACGGCCCUUACGUCCGGGGCUACACACGUGUUACAAUGGGGGGUACAGCAGGCAGCUCGGCGGCGACGCCCGGCCAAUCCCUAAAUCCCCUCUCAGUUCGGACUGGAGUCUGCAACCCGACUCCACGGAGCUGGAUUCGCUAGUAAUCGCGCAUCAGCCACGGCGCGGUGAAUACGUUCCCGGGCCUUGUACACACCGCCCGUCAAGCCAUGAAAGCCGGGGGUACCUGAAGUGCGUAACCGUCCAGGAGCGCCCUAGGGUAAAACCGGUGAUUGGGGCU